UCCAGACUCCUACGGGAGGCAGCAGUGGGGAAUAUUGCACAAUGGGGGAAACCCUGAUGCAGCGACGCCGCGUGAGCGAGGAAGUAUUUCGGUAUGUAAAGCUCUGUCAGCAGGGAAGAAGAAUGACGGUACCUGAAGAAGAAGCACCGGCUAAAUACGUGCCAGCAGCCGCGGUAAUACGUAUGGUGCAAGCGUUAUCCGGAUUUACUGGGUGUAAAGGGAGCGCAGGCGGUUCUGCAAGUCUGAUGUGAAAGCCCGGGGCUCAACCGCGGGACUGCAUUGGAAACUGCGGGACUGGAGUGUCGGAGGGGUAAGCGGAAUUCCUGGUGUAGCGGUGAAAUGCGUAGAUAUCAGGAGGAACACCGGUGGCGAAGGCGGCUUACUGGACGAUGACUGACGCUGAGGCUCGAAAGCGUGGGGAGCAAACAGGAUUAGAUACCCCAGUA
This 446-nucleotide ribosomal RNA is filed under the name uncultured bacterium. Its description in RNAcentral is "bacterial SSU rRNA". It matches the Rfam family "Bacterial small subunit ribosomal RNA", at positions 330 to 792 of the family's 1533-position model. The record is from RNAcentral.